UACGGAGGGUGCGAGCGUUAAUCGGAAUGACUGGGCGUAAAGCGCACGCAGGUGGUGCAGCCAGUCCGCUGUGAAAGCCCUGGGCUCAACCUGGGAAUGGCAGUGGAGACGACUGGACUCGAGUGUGAGAGAGGAGAGUGGAAUUCCCGGUGUAGCGGUGAAAUGCGUAGAGAUCGGGAGGAACACCGAUGGCGAAGGCAGCUCUCUGGAUCAACACUGACACUGAGGUGCGAAAGCGUGGGGAGCAAACAGG
Molecule: ribosomal RNA, 253 nt
Filed under: uncultured bacterium
Lineage: Bacteria
Description: partial 16S ribosomal RNA
Rfam family: Bacterial small subunit ribosomal RNA
Source: RNAcentral